RNAcentral lists this ribosomal RNA (491 nucleotides) under uncultured bacterium. RNAcentral describes it as "partial 16S ribosomal RNA". It matches the Rfam family "Bacterial small subunit ribosomal RNA", at positions 29 to 506 of the family's 1533-position model. The record is from RNAcentral.
AGUGAACGCUGGCGGUAGGCCUAACACAUGCAAGUCGAACGGCAGCACAGUAAGAGCUUGCUCUUACGGGUGGCGAGUGGCGGACGGGUGAGGAAUACAUCGGAAUCUACUUUUUCGUGGGGGAUAACGUAGGGAAACUUACGCUAAUACCGCAUACGACCUACGGGUGAAAGCAGGGGAUCUUCGGACCUUGCGCGAUUGAAUGAGCCGAUGUCGGAUUAGCUAGUUGGCGGGGUAAAGGCCCACCAAGGCGACGAUCCGUAGCUGGUCUGAGAGGAUGGUCGGCCACACUGGAACUGGGACACGGUCCAGACUCCUACGGGAGGCAGCAGUGGGGAAUAUUGGACAAUGGGCGCAAGCCUGAUCCAGCCAUACCGCGUGGGUGAAGAAGGCCUUCGGGUUGUAAAGCCCUUUUGUUGGGAAAGAAAAGCAGCAGGUUAAUACCCCGCUGUUCUGACGGUACCCAAAGAAUAAGCACCGGCUAACUUCGU